UACGUAGGGGGCUAGCGUUGUCCGGAUUUAUUGGGCGUAAAGAGCGUGUAGGCGGCCAGGUAGGUCUGGUGUGAAAACUCGAGGCUUAACCUUGAGAUGUCAUCGGAAACCAUUUGGCUAGAGUCCGGAAGAGGAAAGUGGAAUUCCUGGUGUAGCGGUGAAAUGCGCAGAUAUCAGGAAGAACACCAAUGGCGAAAGCAGCUUUCUGGGACGGUACUGACGUUGAGACGCGAAAGCGUGGGGAGCGAACAGG
This 253-nucleotide ribosomal RNA is filed under the name uncultured bacterium. RNAcentral's name for it is "partial 16S ribosomal RNA". It matches the Rfam family "Bacterial small subunit ribosomal RNA", at positions 524 to 776 of the family's 1533-position model. The record is from RNAcentral.